This 556-nucleotide ribosomal RNA is filed under the name Escherichia coli. RNAcentral's name for it is "partial 23S ribosomal RNA". It matches the Rfam family "Bacterial large subunit ribosomal RNA", at positions 1116 to 1673 of the family's 2925-position model. The record is from RNAcentral. Lineage: Bacteria; Pseudomonadati; Pseudomonadota; Gammaproteobacteria; Enterobacterales; Enterobacteriaceae.
CCAUCAUUUAAAGAAAGCGUAAUAGCUCACUGGUCGAGUCGGCCUGCGCGGAAGAUGUAACGGGGCUAAACCAUGCACCGAAGCUGCGGCAGCGACGCUGAUGCGUUGUUGGGUAGGGGAGCGUUCUGUAAGCCUGCGAAGGUGUGCUGUGAGGCAUGCUGGAGGUAUCAGAAGUGCGAAUGCUGACAUAAGUAACGAUAAAGCGGGUGAAAAGCCCGCUCGCCGGAAGACCAAGGGUUCCUGUCCAACGUUAAUCGGGGCAGGGUGAGUCGACCCCUAAGGCGAGGCCGAAAGGCGUAGUCGAUGGGAAACAGGUUAAUAUUCCUGUACUUGGUGUUACUGCGAAGGGGGGACGGAGAAGGCUAUGUUGGCCGGGCGACGGUUGUCCCGGUUUAAGCGUGUAGGCUGGUUUUCCAGGCAAAUCCGGAAAAUCAAGGCUGAGGCGUGAUGACGAGGCACUACGGUGCUGAAGCAACAAAUGCCCUGCUUCCAGGAAAAGCCUCUAAGCAUCAGGUAACAUCAAAUCGUACCCCAAACCGACACAGGUGGUCAGGUA